RNAcentral lists this long non-coding RNA (3215 nucleotides) under Olea europaea subsp. europaea. The record is from RNAcentral. Lineage: Eukaryota; Viridiplantae; Streptophyta; Magnoliopsida; Lamiales; Oleaceae.
GGACAAUAGUAUUCUAACAGUGUUUAGUUUAGCAACUAGUGAAAACGUCUCUUGGUAGUCUAUCCCAUAUGUCUGUGUAUACCCCUUCGGACUAGCCUUGCUUUGUACCGCUCAAUGGAUCCAUGUGCCUUGUGUUUGAUGGAAAAUACCCAUCUGCAUCUUACUGUCUUCUUUCCUUCAGGUAAUCGAACUAGUAUCCACGUGUUAUUCUUUACUAGUGCCUCCAUCUCAUCUUUUAUUGCCUGAAUCCAUUUGGAAUCUGACAAGGCAUCCUGAAUUCCUGUUGGAACAUGAUUAGAAGAGAGAACAUGUACAAAAGCUUUCAGUGGAUCAGAUAACUUCGUGGUGGAUACAUAGUUGGCAACUGGAUAUCUUAAUCUUCAUUUUUCAAUGUCUGGAGAGUAUCUGCUUAGCGAUUUGCCUCGAUUAUGCCUGAAAGGUAAAUUAUAGCCACCAGGAGUAUCUAAAUUGCUUAUAUGUGAAGGAGUGCUUACCUCAGAGAUAUUCUCCGGAGAUGGGCCUGUAGAUACUGAAGAGAAAGGGGGCUCUGGUUCGGUGCAGUUUGGUUCAGCUUCUACAGUUGGUUCCGGAUCUUGAGUCAUAUCAUUCCUUAAGUCAAUAUCUAUCGGAGCUGUCUCUAUCUCAGUAUUAUUUGACCACUCAAACUUCGACCAAUUCAACUCUUCAUCCCUUGUCUCUCCCUGAAGAGGAGAAUUGGAUGUUGGAGAAACAAAUGUGUCAGACUUCGAGAAGGUAACAUCCAUAGUUACAUAGGUCCGUUUGGAGGAUGGAUCAUAGCACCGAUAGCCCUUUUGAUGUGUAGCAUAUCCCACAAAAAGACAUAGGAGAGCACAUGGGUCAAGUUUUGUAACAAACCAAUGAACCCCAAACCUUGAAUCGUGGAACGUGAUAGAGCUGCUUUAAUAACCGCUUUGAUAACUGCACUUCUUGAUAACCACGACGCGUUAUGUUUGUUAAUACCUUGGGCGACUUGAAGGUUUGGGCGAGAAUAGAGUAACAGCUCUGGGCGACUGUAUGACACUCCAUUCGCUCAGAUUCUGGGCGACUUGCAAACUUGGGCGAUGGCGUUACCGCGUUCUUGGCCCUCCUUAUUUGGGCCUUCAUCUUGAUUUGUUCGAUUGGGCUUCGUUCUUUGGGCUAUCUGAUUUGGGGAUUCUCCAAUUGGGCUUCACUCCUUGGACUGUUCGAUUUGGGCUGAAUUUUUAUGUGUCAACAAUUACCCCCCAAUAUCGCAGAAUUAAUAAUAAUUAUUAAAUUUUGCCAUAUUCACUUUGUGUUUCCAGCAACAUUCGAAAUUCCCAAGAAUUUCAAUCAUUGUUUCUUUCUAUAACUUGAAAAGGUGCGUCGUUUUGCAAACCCUUAUAAACCCCAAACACGCCAUUUCACUGCCACCAAACCACGCCUCAUAUUUUUUACGUCUUCUUCACGAUUCACUGUUCAUCUUUUGCUUCCCUGCUACGUAAUCCUAAAAAGCUUCGUUCCUUCUCAAAUGGCUGCUUCACAAUCUCAAGCUAGCGAUUCCUUUAGUUUUGAUGACUUUCAGAGACUUCUGAGUCGCCCAUACAUAACCCCAAGUUUUCUCACGCCCGCCGACGUUGGACGUAAUGAGUUUUACUUGGGUCCUUUCUUCAACAAUGCGGAGGUAGUUGAACAGGCGGCGGUGGGUCAGCUGCUUCCUUGCACUCAUGGCCCUCCUUUUCUAAACUCUCUGCCACUGGGGCCACUUCGCGAAAGAGGUAUUCGCACUUGGCCUAAAUCUGAUGUUGCUUUUCGUAGGUGGCAUGCUCGCCUUCUGGGUCAUGGUCCUACCAAGGUACUUUUUGAUAGCGCUAGGAUUUCUGAUUUGUUGGAAAUCUCUAUCCUCCCCCGUACUUUUGAUUCAGCACUCUUUUCAAUUGCUUUGAGUUUUUGGUCUUCUGAGUAUAACACCUUUAUUUUCCCUCUUGGCCCCAUGUCUAUUACCUUAAGGGAUGUUGGGGCCCUGGUGAAUCUGCCACCUUUGGGCGAUACCAUUUUUCCUGGUAUCUUAGUCUUUGGUGGCGCCCCAAAGUUUGGUAGAAACUACACUGAUUCUUAUUCAAGCCUGCAGACCUUCCACAAUCAUUCGAGCGCUGAGCCUACCCAUACUAAACGAGUGGCCUUCCUUUUAGUUUGGCUUUGUAAAUAUAUUUUGUGCGUGCCAAGUAUAAAGCCCUCUCUGAGUUAUUUACCUAUAGCGCACGAAUCGGCGCGUGGCAGGCCUUUGAAUUUAUGUUCUUUGUUUUUGGCUGCCCUUUAUAGAGGCAUGGCCUCUCUUCAAGCUGAAUUGAAGAAUGGUGCAUCUCCACUGGCAAUGGACCUCUUUGGUUCACUCAAUUGUGGUUGAGAUCCUAUUUUCCAUCGCUUGGUGCUCCAUCCAUUUCUCGCCCUUUUGCUAGCUGUUAUGGGCUAGCCAUGGAGCCCUUAACUCUUGUAAAUAUGUCCAGAAGGGACAUUUUUUCAUUCUUUUAUUCUUUGGAUUCAAUCCCUUCCUUUUUUCCUUUUCCUCCUUUUUUGACUCCAAACUAUGUACAUCCCCCUUCCACUAUAGAUAACGCGAGCACCUCCCUACUCAUUUGGAUCCAAUUUUUAACCGAGAGGGAGCUAUUUCAUGAUAUUCUAAUUGGGACCAAUGCCAAAGCGGGGGUAGAGAUUUAUGCUCCCCAAAUUUUUGCUCGUCAGCUUGGUUUUGGCCAAACUUGGCCUGUUCCUCCUUGCUAUUCAAGGAACUUAGUUGACCGUUUUCAUACCAUUACUAAGGCGAGGGUAGAGGCUAUAGAUGCUCGUAAUCUUCUUUUAACCAGUCAUUUUUCAUUGGCCCCCUUCAAUUCUAGCCACGCCAUUCACCCUCUUUUUGAACAACUCUGGCCGUCGGUGAAUCGCAGAUUAUUUGCGACUGAUGCUAAUCGUGCCUUUCAUUCAUUAGACCAACCGAGCAUUUCUUUUCCUCCUCCUGUUUUAGUCACUCAUUUGUCUGUUCGGAGCCCCUCUCCUUCUCGUCGCACUAAACAGUCCGCUCGUCCAUCUUCUUCUCUCCCUGCCAAGCCUACUACGGCCAAGAGUGCUCCAAGCCGUAAACGGCCAGCCUCAGCAUCACCCAUUCUGGAGGAUGAUGUUGAUGAUGAUGCCCCUUUUAUCGUCAGGAGGAAGGUAAUUAAAUUGGUUUACUUACAAGU